UUUUUGUUAAUAAUUUAAAGUCGAAUCUGCCCACUGAUUAAUAAUUAAAGGGCUGCAGUAUAUUGACUGUACAAAGGUAGCAUAAUAAUUAGUCUUUUAAUUGAAGACUUGUAUGAAAGAUUUGAUGAGAUAUAAACUGUCUCUUUUUUAUAAUUUGAAUUUAAUUUUUUAGUAAAAAAGCUAAAAUUUAUUUAAAAGACGAGAAGACCCUAUAGAGUUUUAUAAUUAAAUUAAUUAUGAAUUUAUAUUUAAUUUAAAAAUUAAUUAUUUUAAUUAUUUUAUUGGGGUGAUAAAAAAAUUAAUUUAACUUUUUUUUUAAAAAUAAACAUUAAUUAAUGAAUAAAUGAUCCAUUUUUUAUGAUUAUAAGAAAAAAUUACCUUAGGGAUAACAGCGUAAUUUUUUUUUUUAGUUCUUAUAAGAAAAAAAGUUUGCGACCUCGAUGUUGGAUUAAGAUAAAAUUUAAAUGCAGAAGUUUAAAAUUUUGAUCUGUUCGAUCAUUAAAAUCUUACAUGAUCUGAGC
Molecule: ribosomal RNA, 521 nt
Filed under: Borbo cinnara (rice swift)
Lineage: Eukaryota; Metazoa; Arthropoda; Insecta; Lepidoptera; Hesperiidae
Description: partial 16S ribosomal RNA
Rfam family: Bacterial large subunit ribosomal RNA (bases 385-521)
Source: RNAcentral